Molecule: long non-coding RNA, 390 nt
Filed under: Nicotiana benthamiana
Lineage: Eukaryota; Viridiplantae; Streptophyta; Magnoliopsida; Solanales; Solanaceae
Description: long non-coding RNA (NBEN_LNC033899)
Source: RNAcentral
ACAAGUCAGUUAACAUAUGAAGAGAUGACUAUCAUGUAUAAGAUGGUUUACACUCAUCUUGACAUUUCACGUCUGUUAAUGUAUUGAUUAGAUUCCGGGUAUGUUCCAGGAAAGAACAAUUACCACCACUGAAAUGGAUGUGAUGUCUAUAGAAGAUUAUACCGUUUGAGGAUAAUUUAGGUCGUUUCUGAUUCCGUGCGCAUAUUGGUUUUUCUCUGGAGAUUUUUUUAUUUUGUUCCAUGUAAAAGUGCCUUAAAAACUGAAUUUCUUAGAAGAAGUUGUGGAGUCUUAUGGAAAUUAAACUGUAUUUCCUACUGAUUGUGUGAAUCAAUUUUGAAAAUUUCUGAACCAACAACAACAUGCUUGACUAUGACAGUAGUUUCGAUGAAC